This 354-nucleotide transfer-messenger RNA is filed under the name Rhodanobacteraceae. Its description in RNAcentral is "Rudaea sp005877675 Standard tmRNA". It matches the Rfam family "transfer-messenger RNA". From Rfam's summary of the family: Bacterial tmRNA, also known as 10Sa RNA or SsrA, is named for its dual tRNA and mRNA-like properties. Its role is to liberate the mRNA from a stalled ribosome. To accomplish this part of the tmRNA is used as a reading frame that ends in a translation stop signal. RNAcentral also lists the same sequence under 2 other names. Lineage: Bacteria; Pseudomonadati; Pseudomonadota; Gammaproteobacteria; Lysobacterales. The record is from RNAcentral.
GGGGGCGAUCGGCUUCGACGGGGAUAGCGAAAUCGCUUGGUGCAUGCCGAGGGGGCGACUUUCCUCGUUAAUCCAGUAGCAAACUUUUAGUUGCCAACGACGACAACUACGCUCUCGCCGCUUAAGGCGUAAGCCCCGAACCUGCUUGUGUCCGUGCUCGCAGAUGUAGGGUCACUAUCACGGAAUCGCUGAUGAUUGCCGCGGGUCGCGCAUCGGCUAACUCUUAACCCGCUGGUCCUGCGGUGCGCUUUGCACGCCGUGUUGCCGCAGGACGAGAAUAAACGGCGCGCUAAGCAUGUAGAGCCAGGGACGUAGCAUCUUCGGACGGGGGUUCGAUUCCCCCCGCCUCCACCA